GCUCAAUUCAAAAACAACGCCGUCGUUGUUUUCCAGUAAUUUCCACAGCCAGGGCCAGAUUAAGGUGGGAGCAAUGAGGCUGCAGCGACUUCUGGGAGAGGCAGAGAGAUGCUGUGCGCCCUUUUUUGUUUAAUGAAUCAGAAAGCCAGGCUUUUUAACAGCUUGUUCAUGGGAUUUGGUUCAUUAGAAGUCACCUUGACAUGAAACACGCUCCAUCCACUACAGUUCUGCGUUGGACAUUCAUGUUCCGGUAGGACAAAGAAAGCCCGAGGCCUCACCGAUAUAAACAAACGCCAUGACGGCUACAGGAAGCACGCACUUCCGGGUCUGUUUAUCCCCUC
This is a long non-coding RNA of Polypterus senegalus (gray bichir), 341 nucleotides long. RefSeq lists it as uncharacterized. Lineage: Eukaryota; Metazoa; Chordata; Cladistia; Polypteriformes; Polypteridae. The transcript is spliced from 3 exons. The record is from RefSeq and is a predicted model, not a curated record.